CUUGAUAUUGCUGCCCCGUUUCUCAUCAAAUUCCAUCCGUCGCGACCGAGGUCAAGUUUACAGCAUUUCAGAGAGCCAACCCAAUUCCAAUCUGGGUUAUAAAAUCACAAGCAAGCAGAAUCACAUCCACUUAGGAGAAGUAAUUAAACGACAGAGCGGAAAGUUAUUUAUCAGUACAUGAACUUAUUACGAGAAAUGUCGAUCCUCUUCACUGACUCCGUCGGGCAUAAUCUCCGGCGGAACUAAUCUCCGACUGCAGCUGCAGUUCAUCGUCCUCUUCAUCAGUAUCUACCGGCUCCAACCCUUCCACACCUGUGCCAAGUAUCCGACCAUCCAAUUUCUAUGGCGGAGCUUCCAGGAGGUCAAAGAAAUGAAUCGUGAGCAUUUAGGAGAGACUUUGUAUUAUUUCUGACAACAAGAGAGAGGUUGUCACGAAUAAG
This 440-nucleotide long non-coding RNA is filed under the name Linum usitatissimum (flax). RNAcentral's name for it is "long non-coding RNA (LUSI_LNC006281)". The record is from RNAcentral. Lineage: Eukaryota; Viridiplantae; Streptophyta; Magnoliopsida; Malpighiales; Linaceae.